Molecule: unclassified non-coding RNA, 129 nt
Filed under: soil metagenome
Description: partial internal transcribed spacer 1
Source: RNAcentral
AAGAAUUUAAAGAGUGCACUUCAUUGUGGCCUCGACAUUUUCUACCAUUCACCCUAGUGCCACCGUAAUACCUUUUUUUAUUAGACUCUAGCAAAGUUAAUGAAUGUAACACUUUUUUAUAAAGAAAUA